Molecule: non-coding RNA, 200 nt
Organism: Caenorhabditis elegans
Lineage: Eukaryota; Metazoa; Nematoda; Chromadorea; Rhabditida; Rhabditidae
Source: Ensembl
CCUUUUCCUGUUUUGGGUUAUGGUUUAGUAUAAGAAGACACAUGCGAAGAAGCAUUACGUAACCAAAUCGGGGAAGAUGGGAAGGAUGGAUGAAAUAUGAUCGGAGGAUGGCUGGGGGGGGGGGGUGUUGGCGGAUAUCGUUUCCUGUGCUAAUGGCUCGUGAACACAUCUAAAGAAGUGUGCAGAUGGGAUUAAAAAGA